Oreochromis aureus is the source of this 1757-nucleotide long non-coding RNA. Lineage: Eukaryota; Metazoa; Chordata; Actinopteri; Cichliformes; Cichlidae. The record is from Ensembl.
CAGGCAAGAGACGCUGAAAGGAGGAAGAGGAGAUUGUUGGGCACAUGGAGGAAGAGAGACAAGAGAUAGCAGCGGAACUCUGGGAGGGAAGUGGUGCAACAAAGAGGCGCUGAGAGGAGGAAGAGGAGGAGGAAAGCAUCAGGCACAAACGGCUAUUCUCUGUAAACCACGGUGAUGACUGUGUAAAGAAAACCCAGACCAGCCUAUCGGGCACCAACAACCAUGCCACAUUCAAACUCACUUCAGUCACCUUUCUCCACCAUCCUGAUUAGCUUAGGUCAUCUUCACCAUGUCGACCUGACUGAAUGCACUGACUUUUAAUGUGAUUGGUUGUUAAUAAUAGUAUUUGUUUUUUAAAGUGCGGCGCUGAACAAGAAGAAGCUAUAUUUAUUUUUUGCUGUGGGGAAGAUCAUCUUUUGUGGCAAUCAUAUGAAGAAAUAAAGUUUCCAAAUCUCAGUAAUUGUCUGCUGAUUAGCUUUGCUACAUCAGACUAAUGCAGGGACAUGGAUAAACAAAAUGUGUUGUGGAAAAGAUUCUUUGCGCUCUCGGCUGGAAAAACAAAUGAAGCUCAUCAUUCUUUUAUUAAACGGCUUAAAGGUAUCGGUCAAAUGGAAGUGACCUCCCCAGAAAAAUCUGACUACCUUCUGAUUUUCUGUCCUGUUAAUUCACAAGUUGGAGCAGACAUUGCCGAGGCCCUGGACACAAUACCCCGUGGUAAACCAGUAAUUCUGGUGGUGAUGCAUCACACCUCCAAUCCUGAGCAGGUUGUAGCUGAAAGCUGGAGACAGGUGAAGAACGAGAACGUCCACCUCACUGUGGAUUGUCUGGUUUACGAGGGAAAACUGCUUGAUUGCAACUUCAAUGAUAUCAUGUGGCGUGACAUUGGGAAGUUUUUCAGAGUUUCCAUUCACCAGCUCAUUCAGACUUCUAAGUGGCAAAAAUGGAGUUGUUUCUCUGACCCUCUGAUACUGGGUAUAGGUUUUAUAAUGUGUGUUAUGAUGGUGGCAACUGUGGCUAUGGAAGUAGUGCGAAGGAUGAUUUAGACGUUACAGGGCUGAAUGUCUUUCUCAAUGCCAUUGUAUCUGGAUCAUGAAAAAAGGAUAAUGAUACAAUGAUAACAGAUCUGCAACUUUAUGCACAGGGCUAUAUGUUAAUUGAAAAAAUGUUUCGUGAGUUUGACAGUGAGUUUUCUCUCUAAGUUUAAGUUGAAAUAAUCUGAGAUGCUAAAAUGUUCUAAAAGAAUAACUUGCUGCUCUUGUCCAAUACUUGUGUCAAAGAAAUCCUCUCUGAAGAGAUGGUCGUGUAAGUUUUGUAUCCAAAGUUUCAGCCAAGGGUACUAUGAGAUUAAAGUUGUUUAAAGUUCAACACAUGGCUAUGUUUCCAGUUCAAAGUCUCUUUCUGUUUCUUCUUAAGCAAAGCGUUUCCACUGUGUAUUGCUGUAAGAUAUAAUGUUCUGGUUAAGAUUUAGGUUUAGUUGAACAGGUUAGUAAGUUUUAAAUAACAGCUCAGAAAGUAAGGAUGCUGUUUUGUGCAAUUUUAUUAAUUAUAUUUAAAUUAUCUGUGAUGAAUAUAAUCAGUUGUAUAUAGUAUUUUAUUUUAUUUUAUUGUGUACAGUAUCUUAUUCUUAUUCUUAUCAUCUUAUCUUAUUCCAGUGUUUUUUCAAAUUUUUGCUAUGUAACUUUACACUGUCCACUUUCUGCUGUAACAAAACAAAUUUCCCACGUGUGGGACUAAUAAAGGUUAUCUUAUCUAUCUUA